RNAcentral lists this ribosomal RNA (453 nucleotides) under uncultured Porphyromonadaceae bacterium. RNAcentral's name for it is "partial 16S ribosomal RNA". It matches the Rfam family "Bacterial small subunit ribosomal RNA", at positions 341 to 792 of the family's 1533-position model. Lineage: Bacteria; Pseudomonadati; Bacteroidota; Bacteroidia; Bacteroidales; Porphyromonadaceae. The record is from RNAcentral.
ACGGGAGGCAGCAGUGGGGAAUCUUCCGCAAUGGGCGAAAGUCUGAACCAGCCAAGUCGCGUGAAGGAAGAAGGUUCUAUGGAUUGUAAACUUCUUUUGUUCGAGGGUAAAGUGAGAGAUGCGUCUCUUAUUGCAAGUAUCGGACGAAUAAGCAUCGGCUAACUCCGUGCCAGCAGCCGCGGUAAUACGGAGGAUGCGAGCGUUAUCCGGAUUUAUUGGGUUUAAAGGGUGCGUAGGUGGAUGAUUAAGUCAGUGGUGAAAGCGUGCGGCUCAACCGUACCGAGCCAUUGAAACUGGUUAUCUUGAGUGUAAACGAGGUAGGCGGAAUGUGACAUGUAGCGGUGAAAUGCAUAGAGAUGUCACAGAACCCCGAUUGCGAAGGCAGCUUACCAGCAUACGACUGACGCUGAUGCACGAAAGCGUGGGUAUCAAACAGGAUUAGAGACCCUGGGA